UUUCAAAAAAAAAAAAAAAACAAAAAAAGAAAGGUUCAAAUGCAGCACUGCUGUGUACAAGGGCUGGGGCGAGAGCUCAGAGCAACUCCUUAGGCAGAGUGGUGAGCCCGCGGGCCCCAGGGUGAGGGGCCUGUUGCACCAUCUUUCAAACACUGCCCAAUCUCUAGUGUCUUUAUGGAAGCCAGCACCUGCAUGCACCACUCACGCAGGCAGCGCGUUUUCCUGCAGAACAUAAAUGCUUUGGUAUGCACUGCGGCCAGCUUGUUAGAACCCCAUUCCUGGCUUCACCCUCAGGGAUUCCAGUUCAACAGGUCUGAGCUGGGCCCCCAGAAAGCUAUAUAAGCUGCUCAGAUGGUUCUGAUGAAGGUGGUGAUCCAUCCUGAGAGUGGCUGGACUGUGAGUUCCACAAUGAGGCCUGAAACUAACCCAAUGAACUUGCCCAGUCAUCACAAGCAGAGUAUUUUUUAAAAGAGGUGUGAGCAAGAACAACACUGACACAGCUCUACGAAUGCUAAAUUCAAGACAAAUUCAC
Long non-coding RNA from Cercocebus atys (sooty mangabey), 532 nucleotides. RefSeq lists it as uncharacterized. The transcript has 2 exons. The record is from RefSeq and is a predicted model, not a curated record. NCBI's taxonomy places the organism in Eukaryota, Metazoa, Chordata, Mammalia, Primates, Cercopithecidae.